This 9262-nucleotide long non-coding RNA is filed under the name Capsicum annuum. RNAcentral's name for it is "long non-coding RNA (CANN_LNC013312)". The record is from RNAcentral. Lineage: Eukaryota; Viridiplantae; Streptophyta; Magnoliopsida; Solanales; Solanaceae.
GUAUAAUUGAAUUAAAUGCGAUAAAACAAAACAAUUCCAACACAUAUUUCAAACAUUCCAACAAUCCACCAAUUCUAAAUUUUGCCUACUCGAGCCUAGUGCUUGCCUACCCGCUCGAUGACAUAUCACGUUCAACAUCAACAAUGAAUCAAAAUACUAUAAUAUUCACUUUUAUCAAUUUUCGAUUCCCAUUCCCCAAAUAAUCAAUUUUAAUCCUCCAUGAGAUAUUAUUUCAUCACACACCUUAUAAUUAAUCCAUAAUCAAGGAAAUCAAACACCAAAUCUAAACAAACAAUAAUUUACAUCACCACGGAUUAAUCAACACACCGAAUUCAAUUCAAAGCAUAGAACACGAUAAAUAACGAAAUAAAAAAGAGAAAGAAGAGAAUUAGACCUCGAUUCAAAGGUUUUGAAAUUCAAUAACACUUCAACGAAAGGACAGAAACCAUGCCGAGGAACCUUGAAUCGAACCUCAACAAAGGACUCACCAACUCCGUACUAAAUCAACCGCAAGAAUCCCAAAAUUUGACCCGAACACGAAUUCACGAAAGCAAACCUGCAACCCAAAGCAAAGAUCACAAAGCCCUACCAAUCGUACCUAAUUAGCAUACUCCGUUACUAUUUUUGGUUGCUUUCCAACGGAUGGUCGUCGGAAUCGACACUGGAGGUCGGAUUCAGUGGCUUCCCAGCAUGCUUCGGUCACUGUUAUAGCGUCACCGGAGCUUCGGCGAGCUUAACAGUGGAGGCGCUGCUCUCCUCCGCCCUGAAUCGUAUCUCGUUCGAUCUCUCUCCUCUCUAUCCCUCUCUCGUGGUUCUCUGCUCUCUCUCUCACUUUCUCUCGCUGCUUCUCUCUCUCUUUCUCUUGCUUUGUUUCUCUUCUCUCUCAAUCUCCCUCCAAUUUGAGUAUGUUGCUAUUCAGCCAAUGGAAUGGCGAUGGGUAUCCAAAAAUGGAAAAGAAAAAUCUCUGAUGAUGAAGUUUUUGGUCUUUGUAUAUGUAUCUUGUUCGAUCGAAAAGGAAAAAAGUUGAAGACCCUUAUCUGUAUAAUAUUGUAUCUCCCUUCUUGUGAGAAUUGAAGUCGGUUCUUUUGUUUUGAGAGUGAUAGUGAGUAUCCCCUCUAGGGAAUAUGCUUCUGGGUCCUUUUAUUUGCUUUGUGGACAGAAAUAAAAAGGAGAGGUCACGUGGAGAGGGAGUGGUGAGGGUGAUGUGUCAUUUUUUAAUAGGAAGGGGUUGUUAGAAUAAGAUAAAAUUAGUUAGGAAUUGUUAUUUUUUGUCUUUUUGUGAAGGGGUUAUCACACGGGUGAGGGCACACACUAAGAUGAGGGUAAAAUGGUAAGAAUGCUUUCGGGGAGGGACAAAAUUAUGUGUCUACAUCAUGUCCCUCUUUGCAGGUAAACACAAAGUGUUUUUAUACAAAGAAGUAGACAAUGAGAUAGAAUUUUGACCCGAUCAUUAUUCACAGGAAAGAAACAAAAGGAAGAAGGACGACCGAGUUGGAGAGUUCAGUGAGGUCCCGUCGAGGCUCCGGUCCGCGGCUCUGUCAUUACAUCAAAAAUGAAAAUUACAAGUUAAAACAUAAAUGAAAUUGCAAAAAUCCUAUCUAUACAGCUUCUGUUGGACUCCUGACUUAAGUUUCAUCACCCUAUUCUUCAGGCGGGNNNNNNNNNNNNNNNNNNNNNNNNNNNNNNNNNNNNNNNNNNNNNNNNNNNNNNNNNNNNNNNNNNNNNUAAUUUCUUCACCCUGUUCUUCAGGCGGGCUCCUGACUUGCUAUUUUUCAAUCCGUUAACUUUUAUAUUUUAACCUUGUUGCUUUGUUUUCAACUUCUUCAACUUGUUGCUUGACUUUUCAUUUAUUCACCUUGUUCUUCAAGCGGACGCCUGAAAUCACAUCAAAACUAAAAGAACAUUAUCCCAAACAAGAAUUAUUAUAAAGAGAAAUUUCGUUUGCCAGAAAAGUAAAGUUCAAAAAAAAGAAUUAAAUUUUUGCCCCAGUUUAUUAUCAGAAGACUUUUGGGAAAGUCACAUCAUACCUACUUGCAUGUUGUAAUGAUGAAUUAAGACUCUGACCAAGAAAUGCAUCUCUUGAGAGUAAAAUUGAAUAACCAAGCCUAGGAAGUGUGUCUCCUAAGAAUUAAAGUGAGGGAUUCUAACUAGAAAGUGCGUCUUCUAGAUAUACAAGUUUAAGUUAAAAAGUGUGUCACCUAACAAAUGAAAACUAGCAAGAAAGUGCGUCUCCAAAGGAUUAAGUGCAAUAACUCGACUAGAAAGUGCAUUUUCUAGAAAUCAAGGGGACUGCUAGGAAGUGUAUUACCCAAAAGAAAAGUUCGAAUUACCCAAUCAAAGAAAUGUAUCUCCUUACCAAUAUUGCUUGAAUUAUCAAAAUAAGGAAGUGCAUCUCCUUAUCAAUGCCGCUUGAAUUACCAAACCAAGGAAGUGCGUCUCCUUACCAAUGCCGCUUGAAUUACUCAAACAAGGAAGUGCGUCUCCUCACAAAUGUUUCUUGAAUUAACCAAACAAGGAAGUGCAUCUCUUUACAAAUGUUGCUCGAAUUGCCCAAGAAAGAAAGUGCGUCUCCAAUGUUUCUUGAAUUACCAAAACAAGAAAGUGCGUCUCCUUUGGAAGUGUGUCUCCUUACAAAUGUUGCUUGAAUUGUCCAAACAAGGAAGUGUGUUUCCUCACAAAUGUUGCUGGAUUUACCAAAUAAGGAAGUGCGUUUCCUUUAAAAUAUUGCUGGAAUUACCCAAACAAGGAAGUGCGUCUCUUUACAAAUAUUGCUAAAAUUACCAAAACAAGGAAGUGCGUAUCCUUACAAAUGUCGCUUGAAUUACCAUGGGUUUGAAUACCAAAUAUGUGCAGCAACAUUGCCUUUUGUAUUUGUAGAAGUGAGAAUAUUACGGCCCUUGAUGUUUAGGGUUUGAAAUCCUUGAUUCGAAGGUAGCAUGUGUUCCUAUUUCAUACAAAGAAAACUUAUUAGUUUAAAAACAUGGUGGUUGGUUUGUGACUUUGGCUUUUGUGGAAAUCACUCUUGUCCCUGUCACAUUUAAUCUUGCUUUCAACCAUUAGAAUGUGUCAUUGACCUGCUGUAUCAUUGACCCGAACUCAGAUUAUUAAGAGUAACUCUGAGACAAAUAAAGUAUCUCAGCUUUGUCAAGCUCCUCAGAUACGCCCUUUAAACCUUGGUAUUUCCAUGAGUUCCCAGACUUUUCUAUUAACAAAAUUUUUGUAUGCCUUAUUUCGGCUCACAAUCAUGUCUUUUGCAUGUGCUGGCCCUUUUGUCUUGCUUUGUGCAAUUGAAGAAGCUGGUAGCCAGUUUUGAGAUCUUUUCUCACUUGUUUUGACACGAACUUGACUUAAAGAAAAGAGAGAAAAAAAGAAAAAAAGAAAAAAAUAACAAUAAUUUUAUUUGGACAACUGACUAAAGAUAAUAAAAAUAAAAAUAAAGAGAAGAAAGAAAAGACAAUGAAUGUCCCUAUUUGAAAUAAAGAAAUGAAAAUUUUUUCGAGAAACGACAGUCAACUCUAAUGAUUAUGUCAUGCAUUUUGGAUCAAGCUACCAGAUCUUUCCAUCAAAUUUUCUACCAAUUAUUGUUGAGUGAAUGGCUCUGAAACUAAGUUACUUGCUUGAACCCAUUGCAUUCGAAGAACUCAUUCGGCUAGUGGCACAUUGAAGGAUUUUUGCCAACAAGCCUCUCUCAUUUUUACUCAACUCGCCAUCGCCUUAUGGUGCCCGUGAGUGUUUUCACCAAUGACUCUCAUUCUUAUCUAUCUCAACUUACCAUCGCCUUAUGGUGCCCGUGAAGGUUUUCACCGAUAAGACUCUUUCAUUUUUAUUUCUCUCCUAAUUUCUUAUGCUGAGGAAAACGAGUAGUUCCUAAAAUAUGUAAUCACAUCAAUUGCGUGCUUACCCUUAACAUUCUCAAAGAUUGAUCCGAAGGUCUUUCUUUGGUUGUAACUUAGCUUUUGGAUAGGGCUAGAAAGAAAGGAUGGCAUGGGGCCCAAACGACAAUUGAAGUGGGGUGGGACUUAAAACUUUUGAAAUCGACUCAAACAAUGAGGAUUAACUUAUGCCCCAAUUUCUUUUGACUGGGUAGCGCUAAAUUAUUUAUUUGGUUGGACCAGCCCUUAGUAGGGCAGCCUACGUAUCUCACCCCCGAGAGAGGAGAAUCAGGUCAUGCGUAGUUUUGGCAGCUUGUUCUUUUGCUUUGAUCUGAUUUUUAUUUUUUUUUAUUCGCUCUUUUCACUUUGUGAUUCUUUAUUUCUAACUUUAUUUUUCUUGACACUCUUUUUUUUUGGAAACAUUUUUGUAACUUUUUGACUUUAUCUUUUUACUCGACACUAUUCUUUGAACUUUGUUUACUCUAUCUUGAUUCCAAAAGAGGGGUUUGAAAGAAAAUAACACUAAGGCUCAAAUGGGGUAAACAAAGGAUGACACAAUAUUUGGAUAGCAGAAUGAAAUGCCUUCAUCAUAUCAAUCCUUGAGAAUGCAAGUACAUAACAUGCAAUUGGAAGUGAGAGAUGAAGAUCAUUUGCGACAUCUUUUUAAGAAGAUUGAGUUUGUACAUUUCUCACAUCAAAUGACUCAUGCUUUUGUGGAGCUGCUUAUCUUUUUGUUUCUCUUGAUAUAGGGAUCAUACGUCCACUAUUUGACCUAAUUGAGACUUGCCUUUCGAUCGAUGACCAAGUUGUUCUUGUGAUUCUCAAAAUAAUUUCCUUAACUUGUCACCAAAUGUCUUAGCACUCUAUCUAUUUUCUCAUAUGCUCUCUUUUUCUAACUUUAACCCUCUGAUUCAAUUUUUAUACUUAAACUAGAUUUUAAGAUUUGGUUAAAAAUUUCACUAGCAUGUUAUAUCACUAGAGUCAACAGAAAAUGUACUAUGUAAAGAAAACAAACAAACAACACAUAUUUAAAACACAAAGGAAAAUGAGACACUUCAUUUAGUCAAAACAAAAGAUAGAAGGGUUUGAACAUAAACAACAAAAGGACAAAACAAGACAGAUCCCGAACUACAACCCUGAAAUAAUUCGGAGAACAGAAAAUAAAACAAAAUAAGCUACCAAACCCCUUCCUAGUAAGGAGAGGGGUGACUUCUCAAUUGCUCAGCCUGACAUCUUAGCCACUGAUUUCCAUAUCAGCAUGACUAGAGCUUCCCUCACUGUCAAUGUUCUGCACCAUGAUUGAUUUAUCUUGAAUCAUCUUUUCAAUUUCUCUUUUCAAAGCACGAUAAUCCUCAAUACUGUGACCCUGAACAUCGGAAUGAUAUGUACAUCAUACAUUAGGAUCAAAACUUCUUGAAUGUAGGUCAGGAGUAUACCCAAGAAGAGAAGUGAUCAUGCCCUGCUGUACCAAUCUAUGGAAUAAACUUGCAUACGACUUUCCAAUGGGUGUGAAGCUAUCCCUCGACUUCUGUCUCAUUUCAUUAUUUGGCUUAAAUUAAAAACCAGGCCUAGAAGGGCUUUGGUAUAUAUGUUAAGUUGGAGGAUGACUCGGCAGAGAUGGCGCAUGCCAGUGUGGGUAAGAUGGAGGUUGAACAUAAGGUUGCGCAUUAUACACUUGAUAUGGAGGUGGGGGAAUGUGAUAUAAUGGAUUUUGGUAAAGAUUUUGUGGAGCUUGGGCAUAAACUUGGGUUUGAGCCCAUGGGUAACGAUGGUGUGGUCCUCUUGCCCAUGCCUGUUGUCCAACUGCAACGGCACAUGCAUCUUCCUCAUUUUUCUUUCCUCCCACACUUUCUGAACCUUUUUGAAUUGCUUGAGUAGUCACUUUCAAUGUUGCAAAAAUCACAAUGCGACCAUUCUUAAUUCCAUCCUCUAUCAUCUCCCUCAUUUUGAGAGCCUCAAUAAAUGGCUUGCCUAAUGCAGGUAACAAGUGUUGAUAAUAUAUUUCAUCCUGCGCUUGAAUAAACGCCUCCACUAUCUUACUUUCUUUCAUUGGCGGUUUCACCCUAGCAGCUUGUUCACGCCAUUUAAUUGCAUACUCUCUGAAGGUUUCAGUAUACUUUUUCUUUAUAUUAGUCAAGGAUUUCUCGUCAGGAAUCAACUCUAUAUUAUAUUGAAAUUGUUGCAUGAAUUCAUUAGCCAGGUUAUCCCAGCUAUUCCACUUGUCGAUGUCUUGGUCAACAAACCAUUCUGAAACUAGACCUAAAAGACUCUCACCAAAAUAUGCCAUGAGUAAUUCUUCAUUCCCUCCAGGGCCCCUUAGCUGGUUGCAAUAGCGUCUCAAAUGUGCUACAGAAUUGCCAUGUCCAUCAUACUUCUCAAACUUCGGCAUUUUAAAACCAAGAGGAAGAUGUACGCUUGAAAACAUGCACAGAUCUUUAUAUGAGACACUUUUGUAUCCCCUAAGUCCUUGCAAGUUUUUCAUUCUCAGUGUUAGGAGAAAAUUCAGGCGGUUGAGGGCAAUCGUAAGGACCAGUCGACUUAAAUGUGGGCUCGCGAGCGUAAUGCUGAUCACUAAAAUUAUUCAAUACAGAGUCGCUUGUAGAGUGAGGAAUCACAACCGUUGGAUUGACAUUAAAAGUAGGAGCUUCAGACAGGAGUGACGCUGCAAAAGUAUGAAUAGCAGGCGGAGCCGAGCAUGUGGUAAUUUUGUAUUGAGGAGUGAGGAAAUGAAUAUUGGAAGUGUUUGGAUACUGUUGCCCCGGAGUAGGUCCUGAUACAUGUUGUGGCGUGUCGACCAAAAUAGAAAAUUGUGCAUGUGACAAUGGAGGCAAACUAGAAAGAUAUUCUAGAUUAUCUGCGGGAAAUGGAGGAGGCGGCAACCCAUUAGCCCAAGCUCGAUGCAUUUCUAUCAUUUGCUGUCUCAAUUUCCGAAUCUCUUCAUUAGCUCCUACAUUCUCAUUCCCCAAACUCCCUAUCUGAUUAGUGACAACAAACUAGGUAUCCUUGUUGGCCAUAACUUUCUCUGUGACUUGGAGUAAUAUGGAGGACCAGCCAAAAUGACACAAACCAACCACCUUAAACUAACUGGACAAGAGAUAGAAAAUGCGUUAGAUUUCAACGAUUUUUCAAAACCUCUUCUUUUUUUUUUUUCUUAAAAAAAAUCACCGAACCCUAGAAGGGAGCCUACAUAUCUCACCCCCGAAAGUGGAGAAUCCGGUGUGCAUAGUUCGUGAAGUUUUGCCAAAAUGGCCAAUUAAACUCUUUUUUCUUUCUUGAAACAAAGUGUCAAAAGAAUUGGCGAAAAUCAUUUUGCAUUUUUGUUUUAGGUUUAAAUCUCUAUACAAAAUGAAACAAGUGAUUACCAAAGAAAAAUCUUUUUGGAUUUUUGAUUUUUGAAUUUCAUGUGAAAAUGAAACUUGAACCUAUUAAAGGAAAAUCUUUUUGUAGUUUUCUUUUAAAGACGUAUAUGAAACGCCUACUCUAAGUGGAGAGUGAAGAAAUAUUUUUAAUGAUUAAAUAACAGGCUAGACCCUGACUUAAGAGAUACGACCAAAUACAGAUGAUGAACCAUGUUAAUAAAAUCUUUUGAGUUUUCAUUUUGAUACUUCACAAAAAAAUGACAUCAAAAACUAUGAAAGAAAAAUCUUUUUGGUAUUUUCGUUAUACGAAAUGUAAAAAAUUUCUAACAUUUUUUGUUUUUUGCAUUUUUCUUUUAUAAACACAUCCUAUGAAUGAAAAAAUCUUUUUGAAGUUUUCGAAUUGUGAAUGCAUGCUAAACGAGACAAAGGAAAAUCUUUUUGAUGUUUUUGAGAAAAUGAGUGCGAGAGGUAAAAAAGUCCUUUUGAAUUUUGGAAUUGUGAAAAAUAUAAGCCAUAAAAAACUCUAAAAACUACGAAACUCUUUUUUUUUCUUGUUUUUUUUUCAUUACCCACACACUUUACUUCUAACACAUGUUUUUCCCAAAUUAGUUCGUCAAAUGACCACGUUAUCCUCAAAGAUGUAACAUUUAGCACGUAGGGUUGCUUUAGAGGUGAGUCUCCUACAAAGGACCAAGUGGGCUCCACUAGGUCUCAAUAUGAUGCACAUAAGCAUGACCUAAAGACUGACCUACGUUUGGAUUCACUAACAAAGCUGUUCGGGGGAACGUAUGGUCGAUAGUGGCUGGGACAGCUUUCCACCUACUCCAUAACACCGACGGCUCUCCCCCUAAAAUAAGGGUGACUUAACUAGAGGUCAUGUACAACACGGGUACUACGGACUUGUUGCAGAAAGAAGGUUGGGGGUAGACACAUGAUACCAGAUAUAAAAGCGGUGACACAUAGGAUAAAUACUGUACACAAAGAGCACGAAAACAUUCCAUAAUGAUAAAACAAUAACAGAAAACAACACACAAAAAAAAUGUUUAUACACCUAUAGUGCCAAACAAAGCCGAUACGACUCCAAAAUAAGCUCGGAUUCUGAACAAGUCCCCCGCAAAGUCGCCAAAGCUGUCACACCCACUUUUCAACAUCCAAAAAGAUUCGUUUUAAGUUUCGAAAGGGCUUUUAUUAAAGUGACCAAAAAUAAAAAUUUUGUUUCGAAAAGGAUUAUUUAUAUUUAAACUCAGAGUCGCCACUUGGCAUAAUCUGGUGUGCCAAGUCACCGUUGAAAAUCCUUUUUUGAAAAAUAAUUUUGACUCUUUUAAACUGAUUUGUGAACAGAGAUUCCGACUAAGGAAUUCUGUUGACCGAGGGAAAGGUGUUAGGCACCCCUCGGUCCCGUGGUUUGACCACGGUCACUUGGUGGAACAUAUUGGCUAAUUUGAUACUACGAAUGUAUAAAAUACAUAAAACACGUAAAACAAUCAAACGACAAACAAAACAAAAUGAGUAAAAAAUAUAAUGUCCAGUCCGAGUUAUACAGUCCAAAAUAGAAAAAAAUAUGAGAAUAAACCCUAUCUAACUUACAGUAAUCCUAACUAUGCUCCCGUGCUUUACCCGAUGCCUCGGGCCUUCAUCACGAACCUCCUUUUCGUACAUGAUACGUCGGGGCAUUCCCCGGUGAAGAUACAAGUACCUCGAGGCAUUCCCCGGCCAAAUGAGUAUAAUUGAAUGAAAUGCGAUAAAACAAAACAACUCCAACACAUAUUUCAAACAUUCCAACAAUCCACCAAUUCUAAAUUUUGCCUACCCGAGCCUAGUGUUUGCCUUGCCGCUCGAUGACAUAUCACGUUCAACACAACAAUGAAUCAAAAUACUAUAAUAUUCACUUUUAUCAAUUUUCGAUUCUCAUUCCCCAAAUAAUCAAUUUUAAUCCUCCAUGAGAUAUUAUUUCAUCACACACCUUAUAAUUAAUCCAUAAUCAAGGAAAUCAAACACUAAAUCAAAACAAACAAUAAUUCACAUCACCAC